UUCGGUGAUUAUUGAAAGUGGGUCACACCCGUUCCCAUUCCGAACACGGAAGUUAAGCCACUUUUCGCUGAUGGUACUUGGUUUUCGAACCUGGAAGAGUAAGUCAUCGCCGGAU
RNAcentral lists this ribosomal RNA (115 nucleotides) under Fibrobacter sp. The record is from RNAcentral. Lineage: Bacteria; Pseudomonadati; Fibrobacterota; Fibrobacteria; Fibrobacterales; Fibrobacteraceae.